RNAcentral lists this ribosomal RNA (475 nucleotides) under uncultured organism. RNAcentral's name for it is "partial 16S ribosomal RNA". It matches the Rfam family "Bacterial small subunit ribosomal RNA", at positions 335 to 801 of the family's 1533-position model. The record is from RNAcentral.
ACUCCUACGGGAGGCAGCAGUGGGGAAUUUUGGACAAUGGGCGAAAGCCUGAUCCAGCAAUGCCGCGUGAGUGAAGAAGGCCUUCGGGUUGUAAAGCUCUUUUGUCAGGGAAGAAACGGUGAGAGCUAAUAUCUUUUGCUAAUGACGGUACCUGAAGAAUAAGCACCGGCUAACUACGUGCCAGCAGCCGCGGUAAUACGUAGGGUGCAAGCGUUAAUCGGAAUUACUGGGCGUAAAGCGUGCGCAGGCGGUUUUGUAAGUCUGAUGUGAAAUCCCCGGGCUCAACCUGGGAAUUGCAUUGGAGACUGCAAGGCUAGAAUCUGGCAGAGGGGGGUAGAAUUCCACGUGUAGCAGUGAAAUGCGUAGAUAUGUGGAGGAACACCGAUGGCGAAGGCAGCCCCCUGUGUCAAGAUUGACGCUCAUGCACGAAAGCGUGGGGAGCAAACAGGAUUAGAUACCCUUGUAGUCCCAUGAU